AAACCUGAAGAAGUUGUAGUUUUUUUGCUUAAACCUAAAGAAGUUGUAGUUUUUUUUCUUAAACCUGAAGAAGUUGUAGUUUUUUUGCCUAAACCUAAAGAAGUUGUAGUUUUUUGCUUAAAUCUAAACAAUUUUGUAGUUUUAUUCCCUAAACCUACAGAAGUUGUAGUUUUUUUCUUAAAUCUAAAGAAGUUGUAGUUUUAUUGCCUAAACCUAAAGAAGUCUUUUUGUUUAGACCUAAUGAGGUUGUAGUUUUAUCGCC
Long non-coding RNA from Sebastes umbrosus (honeycomb rockfish), 262 nucleotides. RefSeq lists it as uncharacterized. The record is from RefSeq and is a predicted model, not a curated record. NCBI's taxonomy places the organism in Eukaryota, Metazoa, Chordata, Actinopteri, Perciformes, Sebastidae. The transcript is spliced from 3 exons.